AGUAUGCUCAUGGGAACCCAGCUGGAAAGUGCUGUGGAAGGACAAAUGGAGAAAAGUCUCCAGAAAUUGGCCUCGUUUGAAAGGACCUCAUGCAAAGAGAGAUCUUUGGAGACAUUUCAGAAAGGUUUUUAUUCAAACAUAUUCGCAGCUUGUAUGACAGUGGAAUGUUUUGAAAUGAGCUUGAUUCUGUUUACCCAUCCUUCUUAAUCCAACAACUCUGCUGGUCUCUCUGCUGACACAAGAUCGUUCGCAGGUUAUAGAAGGAUUUAACACGUCAGCCAAUGCAGGAAGUAGUCCUCUGAAAUACAUGUCCACAGAACACGCCGUGCUUUCCAGAAGACGCAACAGACAGAAACUUUCCAAAGGGAAUUACCUGGGAUCAUUUCUCAUCCUCUCUCUCUUUCUCUGUAUUACUUAGCCUUAAAAAAAAAAA
This is a long non-coding RNA of Homo sapiens (human), 433 nucleotides long. The record is from Ensembl. NCBI's taxonomy places the organism in Eukaryota, Metazoa, Chordata, Mammalia, Primates, Hominidae.